Molecule: unclassified non-coding RNA, 191 nt
Filed under: soil metagenome
Description: partial internal transcribed spacer 1
Source: RNAcentral
ACGAGUUAGGGUCCUCUAGGCCCGACCUCCCAACCCUUUGCUUACCGAAACCUCUGUUGCUUCGGCGGGCCCGUCUCACGACCGCCGGAGGACCGCCGCAGGGCGUGUCCUCCAGCCCGUGUCCGCCGAUAGCCAACUACAAACUCUGUAUAAAUCAUGUCUCAUGUCUAAGUCAAAUUGAAUUAAAAGCA